Erinaceus europaeus (western European hedgehog) is the source of this 115-nucleotide small nucleolar RNA. Lineage: Eukaryota; Metazoa; Chordata; Mammalia; Eulipotyphla; Erinaceidae. The record is from Ensembl.
CUGCAUCCACUGAUAGGCUAUUGAACAAUUUAUUCUUCUUUGGUUUGCACUAGGAUGCAAAUGGAAGAAAUCCUCAUGCUUUGUGGAGGCUCAGACUGAAUAAAUGAAUACAUCU